GAUGAACGCUGGCGGCGUGCCUAAUACAUGCAAGUCGAGCGAACGGACGAGAAGCUUGCUUCUCUGAUGUUAGCGGCGGACGGGUGAGUAACACGUGGAUAACCUACCUAUAAGACUGGUAUAACUUCGGGAAACCGGAGCUAAUACCGGAUAAUAUUUUGAACCGCAUGGUUCAAAAGUGAAAGACGGUCUUGCUGUCACUUAUAGAUGGAUCCGCGCUGCAUUAGCUAGUUGGUAAGGUAACGGCUUACCAAGGCAACGAUGCAUAGCCGACCUGAGAGGGUGAUCGGCCACACUGGAACUGAGACACGGUCCGGACUCCUACGGGAGGCAGCAGUAGGGAAUCUUCCGCAAUGGCGAAAGCCUGACGGAGCAACGCCGCGUGAGUGAUGAAGGUCUUCGGAUCGUAAAACUCUGUUAUUAGGGAAGAACAUAUGUGUAAGUAACUGUGCACAUCUUGACGGUACCUAAUCAGAAAGCCACGGCUAACUACGUG
RNAcentral lists this ribosomal RNA (496 nucleotides) under uncultured bacterium. RNAcentral's name for it is "partial 16S ribosomal RNA". It matches the Rfam family "Bacterial small subunit ribosomal RNA", at positions 28 to 507 of the family's 1533-position model. The record is from RNAcentral.